Molecule: ribosomal RNA, 319 nt
Filed under: uncultured eukaryote
Lineage: Eukaryota
Description: partial 18S ribosomal RNA
Rfam family: Eukaryotic small subunit ribosomal RNA
Source: RNAcentral
CCCUUAGAUGUUCUGGGCCGCACGCGCGCUACAAUGGUCUUCGCAAACGGAUGCAUUCUCGAAGGAGAAUGCCAAUCUUGGAAUCUAUGCCUUGGUCGGGACAGUUGCUUGCAAUUUUUCGACUCGAACCAGGAAUUCCUUGUAAUCGUGAUUCAUCACAUCACGAUGAAUACGUCCCUGCCCUUUGUACACACCGCCCGUCGCUCCUACCGAUCGAAGAGUUAGGUGAAUUGUUUUGAUCGAUAAGAUUUGACUAUGGUCAACUCUCGUUGUGAAAUUCUGUGAAUCUGACUGUUUAGAGGAAGGAAAAGGCGUAACA